AGUGAACGCUGGCGGUAGGCCUAACACAUGCAAGUCGAACGGCAGCACAGUAAGAGCUUGCUCUUACGGGUGGCGAGUGGCGGACGGGUGAGGAAUACAUCGGAAUCUACUUUUUCGUGGGGGAUAACGUAGGGAAACUUACGCUAAUACCGCAUACGACCUACGGGUGAAAGCAGGGGAUCUUCGGACCUUGCGCGAUUGAAUGAGCCGAUGUCGGAUUAGCUAGUUGGCGGGGUAAAGGCCCACCAAGGCGACGAUCCGUAGCUGGUCUGAGAGGAUGAUCAGCCACACUGGAACUGAGACACGGUCCAGACUCCUACGGGAGGCAGCAGUGGGGAAUAUUGGACAAUGGGCGCAAGCCUGAUCCAGCCAUACCGCGUGGGUGAAGAAGGCGUUCGGGUUGUAAAGCCGUUUUGUUGGGAAAGAAAAGCAGCAGGUUAAUACCCCGCUGUUCUGACGGUACCCAAAGAAUAAGCACCGGCUAACUUCGUG
RNAcentral lists this ribosomal RNA (492 nucleotides) under uncultured bacterium. RNAcentral describes it as "partial 16S ribosomal RNA". It matches the Rfam family "Bacterial small subunit ribosomal RNA", at positions 29 to 507 of the family's 1533-position model. The record is from RNAcentral.